RNAcentral lists this transfer RNA (64 nucleotides) under Alistipes finegoldii. Its description in RNAcentral is "tRNA-Leu". It matches the Rfam family "tRNA", at positions 14 to 71 of the family's 71-position model. Rfam says of the family: Transfer RNA (tRNA) molecules are approximately 80 nucleotides in length. Their secondary structure includes four short double-helical elements and three loops (D, anti-codon, and T loops). RNAcentral also lists the same sequence under 2 other names. The record is from RNAcentral. Lineage: Bacteria; Pseudomonadati; Bacteroidota; Bacteroidia; Bacteroidales; Rikenellaceae.
GGUGGUUUAGGCAAUUUGCCUUACAAGCAGGAGGUCUGCGGUUCAAAUCCGCAUGUUCCCACCA